This 201-nucleotide long non-coding RNA is filed under the name Gossypium barbadense (sea-island cotton). RNAcentral's name for it is "long non-coding RNA (GBAR_LNC009876)". The record is from RNAcentral. Lineage: Eukaryota; Viridiplantae; Streptophyta; Magnoliopsida; Malvales; Malvaceae.
GAUAAUGAUAAAGCAACAAUCAUUAUUCAAUAAACUGCUCAUGAUCAAUCCUCCAUUUGGCUAAGGAGAUAAUGAAAGAGUUGAACUGUUGAAGUUUCCUAUAUCUAGAUAACCGACCGAGUGACCCAUAACAUUGUUUUGUCAAAAGAUGCCAACAGAACCUUUCAAUCUAAGAAACUGAAAACACCAUACUAAUCAAAC